Molecule: ribosomal RNA, 776 nt
Filed under: Rhodococcus sp. (in: high G+C Gram-positive bacteria)
Lineage: Bacteria; Bacillati; Actinomycetota; Actinomycetes; Mycobacteriales; Nocardiaceae
Description: bacterial SSU rRNA
Rfam family: Bacterial small subunit ribosomal RNA
Source: RNAcentral
ACGAACGCUGGCGGCGUGCUUAACACAUGCAAGUCGAACGGUAAGGCCCUUCGGGGUACACGAGUGGCGAACGGGUGAGUAACACGUGGGUGAUCUGCCCUGCACUUCGGGAUAAGCCCGGGAAACUGGGUCUAAUACCGGAUAGUACUGCGCGGUGCAUGCCGUGUGGUGGAAAGAUUUAUCGGUGCAGGAUGGGCCCGCGGCCUAUCAGCUUGUUGGUGGGGUAAUGGCCUACCAAGGCGACGACGGGUAGCCGGCCUGAGAGGGCGACCGGCCACACUGGGACUGAGACACGGCCCAGACUCCUACGGGAGGCAGCAGUGGGGAAUAUUGCACAAUGGGCGCAAGCCUGAUGCAGCGACGCCGCGUGAGGGAUGACGGCCUUCGGGUUGUAAACCUCUUUCAGCAGGGACGAAGCGCAAGUGACGGUACCUGCAGAAGAAGCACCGGCCAACUACGUGCCAGCAGCCGCGGUAAUACGUAGGGUGCAAGCGUUGUCCGGAAUUACUGGGCGUAAAGAGCUCGUAGGCGGUUUGUCGCGUCGUCUGUGAAAACCAGCAGCUCAACUGUUGGCUUGCAGGCGAUACGGGCAGACUUGAGUAUUUCAGGGGAGACUGGAAUUCCUGGUGUAGCGGUGAAAUGCGCAGAUAUCAGGAGGAACACCGGUGGCGAAGGCGGGUCUCUGGGAAAUAACUGACGCUGAGGAGCGAAAGCGUGGGUAGCGAACAGGAUUAGAUACCCUGGUAGUCCACGCCGUAAACGGUGGGCGCUAGGUG